This 3114-nucleotide long non-coding RNA is filed under the name Homo sapiens (human). RNAcentral's name for it is "HSALNT0348931". The record is from RNAcentral. Lineage: Eukaryota; Metazoa; Chordata; Mammalia; Primates; Hominidae.
GGAGCGUAAGGGUGGCAAGGCGCCCGAGAGUCAGGGCUGGAGCUGAAGGUGGGUGACAGGGAGGGGGCGCCCAGGUGUCAGGACCUGAGGAGAAAGAGUGCGCGUAGCGGGAGGGCCCCGAAGUGUCGGGGCGGGAUCCUGGAAGGAGGGAGAACGUGAGGAGGGAGGAAGGGUCCCUGGGGUGUCAGGGAUGGGGGCCAGGAAAGGGGCAGAGAGCUGGAGGCCCACAAGUGGGGAUAGCGGGGGAGGGAGGUUGGAGCGAGUGGGGAACGCAGGUGGUGUCGAGGGCGGGGACAGGGCGAGGGGAGCGGGGCGUGAGGAAGUUGUGGGAAACCGCGCUGGACGCUGAGAAUGUGCGGAAGGAUCCUGAGGGGAGGACGCGAGACAGCGCGAGGAGAGACGAGGAGAGUUAGGGUUGGCCGGGAGGGUGCGAAGAUGAAGCGACCACUGGAGGCUGUGAGGGUGAAAGGAGCAAGAAUCGUCUAGAGACGGGCUGGGCCGGUGCUGGGGCCAAAGGCUUCUGUCUGUCAGGCCCUUUUUGGCGCUCACUCUAGAAAGAAGAGGCGGAGACGCGAAGAGAUCGGGUUAGAGUCAGAUUUUCGAAGCACGGAGAUGGGUUCAAUGAAAGGACGAGGAAAGACGAGAAACCAGCGGCCGGAGAACGGAGAGUUCAACAAUUUUUAUGAAUUUCUAAUCCAACCUCAUCAUCCUAUGGGAAACAGAAGACCACCAAGAACAGCCAGCUGAUGGAAUCUCAUUCUGUCACCAGGCUGAAGUGCAGUGACGUGAUCUUGGCUCACUGCAACCUCCACCUCCUGGGUUCAAGCGAUUCUCCUGCCUCAGCCUCCUGAGUAGCUGGGAUUACAGGUAUCUUGGCAGUAACCUCCUCCAUAUAUUUCCUUGGCCCUCAGCUUACAUCUAGCAAAAUGACUCUACUGGUUCCAGGCUUCACAUGCAUACAACAUGGUGUUGGAGGAACAGAGAUGUUUUCUCUUCCUGGUGUUUUCCCAGACAUUUCUUAGCUGGCAUUUCAAACAAGGGUCCUGAAAUUCACCCUGGUUGGGUCGUGUUCUCCCCUUCCCAUUCCCCAUCCCCACCCUCAACCGAAAAAUGAUGUAAGCAGGGGAAAUUGAAUGUACCAAUGUUUGUUUUUAAACAAGCCACAGACCCCUCCCCAACUCCCCGACUGAAGCUUGAAGUGGGAUCAGCUUUCCCUAAAGUACUUGAGCUUAUGGUAAAGCAUAUAUGUUAUCCAAGUUAAAGUCUGGACGCUGUUAGUAAUGGGAAGGCAAGUAAUGAAUGUUAGCUAUGGAGCCAACAGACAGUGUCCACUCCAUUGUCUUUAAGGCCCAACUAAAGAUAACCUCUUUACCAAUGUCGGUUUAUUUAUUCAUUUAUUUAUUCAUUGAGAUGGAGUCUCACUCUCUCACCCAAGCUGGAGUGCAGUGGAAUGAUCUCAGCUGACUGCAAUUUCUGCCUCCCAGGUUCAAGCAAUCUCCUGCUUCAGCCUCCCAAGUAGCUGGGAUUACAGGCGCACACCACCAUGCCCGGCUAAUUUUUGUAUUUUUAGUAGAGAUAGGGUUUCACCAUGUUGGCCAAGCUGGUCUCGGACACCUGACCUCAAGUGAUCUGCCUGCCUCGGCCCCCAAAGGUGUGAGCCACUGCACCUGGCUACAAUGUCAGUUUCUAUAAAAACUGCCUUGACUUGUUUUGUUUGCUUGUUUUGUUUGUUUGUGUUUUAAUUUUUAUUAUUUUUUUUUAGAGACAGGGUCUCAAUCUGUUGUCUAGGCUUGAGUGCAGUGGUGCAAUCAUAGCUCACUGAAGUGUUGGACUCCCAGGCUCAAGCAGUCCUCCCACCUCAGCCUCCCAAGUAGCUGAGACUACAGGCAUGCACCACCCUGUCUGGCUAAUUUUUUAUUUUUAGUAGAGAUGAGGUCUCACUAUGUUGCCCAAGGUGGCCUCAAACUCCUGGCCUCAAGUACUCCUGUGGCCUUAGCCUCCCAAAGCUCUGGGAUUGCAGGUAUGAGCCGCCAUGCCUGGCCUACUGUAUAUUUUAUGCAUUUGAUAUAAGUCUUGCCUCCCUAAGUAUAUUACAAGUCCCUUGAAGUUAAAGACAUUAGAUUCCUACUCAGUGCUGAGCUGCAACAGAGAGCACUCAAUGAUGGAUAAAAUAGUUUUAGCAUGCAUUCAGCGAUAUAUAUUUAGAAAGUGGAACUAGGUGGUUGAAAAAAGUGUAUAGAUGGGUGGAAGGGAAUAUUACAGCUCUUAGAAUUGUCCUAAGGUGAGAGUAACAAAUUAAGCAAUGAGUCCCUGGGUUCACUCAAGCAACUUCACUCUCUAAAACAAGAGCCCACAGAAUCCCAUUUCUGCUUUCAGAAUGAGUUUGAGGCCAAUAUUAUUUCCAUUUUUUUUCUUUUUCUUUCUUUCUUUUUUUUUUUUUUUUUUUUGAGACGGAGUUUCACUCUUGUUGCCCAGGCUGUUUUGAUCUCGGCUCACUGCAACCUCUGCCCCUGGGUUCAAGCGAUUCUCCUGUCUCAACCUCCCAAGCUGGGAUUACAAGCAUGCGCUACCACACCUGGCUAAUUUUGUAUUUUUAAUAGAGACGGGGUUUCUCUGUGUUGGUCAGGCUGGUCUCAAACUCCCAACCUCAGGUGAUCUGCCCACCUUGGCCCAGCCUCCAAUAUGAUUUUCUAAUAGCUGUGUUUGAUGAUUAUAUUUAUUCCUCCAUCAGUAGCUUUUUUAGCCUUGAAAAUAUCUAUUUAAGUUUCUUAUUUCCUUUGGAUCUAUCAAAGUGUUUUUCCCCAAGUGGCACCUGGGAAAACAUAUUCUAUUCAUUUAUUUUAUAACUGUUCCCUUGACCUCUUUAUUGCUUCCCUAUUACAACCCAAGAUGCUCUUGUAAACCUGACUUAAUAUUGGCAGUCUUCAUCCCUUGCAAAUGGAAGUGAUGACAGACCCAAUACUUUGUGUAAAAAUAUUUUGCUAUUUCUAUACAAAAUAUUUUAUUAAUGGAAACCACAUGUUAUGUAUUUUACAUAUGUUAUGACUUGAAAUUUAUGUUAUGACUUGAAAUUGGGGAAUCUGAUAUGUCUCUAAUAAUAAAGGCUUCACAGUA